This is a long non-coding RNA of Alosa sapidissima (American shad), 1250 nucleotides long. RefSeq lists it as uncharacterized. NCBI's taxonomy places the organism in Eukaryota, Metazoa, Chordata, Actinopteri, Clupeiformes, Clupeidae. The transcript is spliced from 6 exons. The record is from RefSeq and is a predicted model, not a curated record.
UGCAAAUUCGUGUUGGUUUCCAGGCAUUCAAUUUCAUUCUGUGCUCGCUGACACGAAGGGAAAUGUCUUAGUUAUUUUCAAAAUAAGCAUGUACUUGUAAACGGGGCCUAAGUUAAAUUAUCUUGUAUUAUUAUUUGUGUAAAGACCAAUGAAAUGAAGCGCAAGACAUUUUCCACGCAUGACAACCGAUAAACCUUCCAAACGCUGGAAGAGUGGGGACUUGCCAGAACCAGCUGAGUGUUUGUGGGACAUCAUCCCAUUGCCAGUCUCAUGAUGUCCUCAGCUAGACCCUGAGGAAUUGUGGGACGGAUUGUUCCAGGUGGAGGACUGGCUCGGAGGUGCCCAGUAGCAGGUGCGCACUUAUCCAGAUGAGUGACUGCGUAAUAGGGAACACCUGUAAUGCAUUUUUGGUCAGCCGUCACCGAGGGAGUAUGGAGGAAGCGGACUGGCAGAACAGAACAGUACUCUCUGUGGACUUUGUCUGAUGACGAGCUUCAUUCCUGCAAAUCAUUCUAGAGUUUCUACCCUGUCGUGUGGAGACCAGGUGGGCAAAACAAGAUGUCUAUGAUAAAUAAAAUAAAAGAACAAUCAAAGUCAGUUGGAAAUGCCUCCAAAGAUCGCUCCAUCAGUGGAAAAUCCAUUGCAUAACAAGACCUGGACCAGUUAAUUGAUUCCCCGGCCAUGCAGUGGGACGGACCAUGCCUAGGCACGCUUCACACCGCUCAGGUCAGAGCCUGGACAGCAUUUCUUCUGGUUGGGUGAGAGGCCUCUCUGCCGUUGUCAUGGCAGCAACAUCAACAGGAAAUGGUGGACCACAGGCGGUGCUGUGCAUUCUCCCCGUGCUGUUUGUUCCAUGUCUGUCAGCCGUGAAUAAGGCAUAAAUAAGAGAUGGCAGUGGCAGUCAACAACAAGGUGCAAGGGGAGCUGGAGGGGACCUUGACACUGAGAUGGUGGACCAGCAGGAGCAAGCAGGAACUUCAAGGGCUGGAGAGGGUGAGGAGCAUAGCAUGGUGGAGGCCUGCAGCCUGUACUCACUGCAGCACAGCAGACCAAUCUGUGCGAUGGCUCUAGUUCUUUUAAACCAGGGCAUCAGCAACAAUUAAACUUUUUGGAAGCUAGCCCAUAUAUUGCCUGUAAUAUUAUCUGUAUAUGCCUGUAUAUUAUCACCUUGAUGGUAAUAAUAUUGUGUAUGUACAAUGUUGUAAUGUUGGAACAGGAUGCAGAUGUCAAUCAGUUACCUAGUGAAACAA